Long non-coding RNA from Perca fluviatilis (European perch), 472 nucleotides. RefSeq lists it as uncharacterized. The transcript has 5 exons. The record is from RefSeq and is a predicted model, not a curated record. NCBI's taxonomy places the organism in Eukaryota, Metazoa, Chordata, Actinopteri, Perciformes, Percidae.
CCCCAUCCACAAUUGAUGAUACUGAAGAGCUGACCACUGAGAGCAAGUGCAUCCAUACAGCCGUCAGCCACCCAAAUCAGACCAGUCCAGAGCUCGGCCCUCUCAUCAAGGCCCUUGAUGACAAAUUGGCUCCAAACAUUUGUGGUGCCACAAAUCCCCCAUCCACAAUUGAUGAUACUGAAGAGCUGACCACUGAGAGCAAGUGCAUCCAUACAGCCGUCAGCCACCCAAAUCAGACCAGUCCAGAGCUCGGCCCUCUCACCAAGUGUCAAAAACCCUGCCUGCUGUCCACAACAGUAUCCUCCUUGGAUAAGUGUGUUCAUUGUGUGAGACCUGUAACUUCCUUCAAGUGGCUUGGCUAUCGAUGCACAGGUUAGAUAUUUAGUGAAUUAGUAUAGAGUGUAAUGUGUUGUGUUCUAACCACUUAAAUAGACCUGCAGUGUUAACAUUAUAUAGGUAUAAUAGCUCAAAA